This 465-nucleotide ribosomal RNA is filed under the name uncultured bacterium. RNAcentral describes it as "partial 16S ribosomal RNA". It matches the Rfam family "Bacterial small subunit ribosomal RNA", at positions 338 to 795 of the family's 1533-position model. The record is from RNAcentral.
CCUACGUGAGGCAGCAGUAGGGAAUCUUCCACAAUGGGCGAAAGCCUGAUGGAGCAACGCCGCGUGGGUGAAGAAGGUCUUCGGAUCGUAAAACCCUGUUGUUAGAGAAGAAAGUGCGUGAGAGUAACUGUUCACGUUUCGACGGUAUCUAACCAGAAAGCCACGGCUAACUACGUGCCAGCAGCCGCGGUAAUACGUAGGUGGCAAGCUGUAUCUGGAUUUAUUGGGCGUAAAGGGAACGCAGGCGGUCUUUUAUGUCUGAUGUGAAAGCCUUCGGCUUAACCGGAGUAGUGCAUUGGAAACUGGGAGACUUGAGUGCAGAAGAGGAGAGUGGAACUCCAUGUGUAGCGGUGAAAUGCGUAGAUAUAUGGAAGAACACCAGUGGCGAAAGCGGCUCUCUGGUCUGUAACUGACGCUGAGGUUCGAAAGCGUGGGUAGCAAACAGGAUUAGAUACCCGGGUAGUC